AACGAACGCUGGCGGCAGGCCUAACACAUGCAAGUCGAACGCCCCGCAAGGGGAGUGGCAGACGGGUGAGUAACACGUGGGAACAUACCCUUCGGUUCGGAAUAACUCAGGGAAACUUGAGCUAAGACCGGAUACGUCCGCGAGGAGAAAGAUUCAUCGCCGGAGGAUUGGCCCGCGUCCGAUUAGCUAGUUGGUGAGGUAACGGCUCACCAAGGCGACGAUCGGUAGCUGGUCUGAGAGGAUGAUCAGCCACAUCGGGACUGAGACACGGCCCAAACUCCUACGGGAGGCAGCAGUGGGGAAUAUUGGACAAUGGGCGAAAGCCUGAUCCAGCCAUGCCGCGUGAGUGAUGAAGGCCCUAGGGUUGUAAAGCUCUUUCGUCAGGGACGAUAAUGACGGUACCUGAAGAAG
Molecule: ribosomal RNA, 411 nt
Filed under: uncultured bacterium
Lineage: Bacteria
Description: bacterial SSU rRNA
Rfam family: Bacterial small subunit ribosomal RNA
Source: RNAcentral